UACCCCGGACCAGGUGGACCACGAAGAG
RNAcentral lists this small RNA (28 nucleotides) under Bombyx mori (domestic silkworm). Its description in RNAcentral is "ovarian small RNA-20657". Lineage: Eukaryota; Metazoa; Arthropoda; Insecta; Lepidoptera; Bombycidae. The record is from RNAcentral.